This 449-nucleotide ribosomal RNA is filed under the name uncultured bacterium. RNAcentral's name for it is "partial 16S ribosomal RNA". It matches the Rfam family "Bacterial small subunit ribosomal RNA", at positions 29 to 523 of the family's 1533-position model. The record is from RNAcentral.
AACGAACGCUGGCGGCAUGCCUAACACAUGCAAGUCGAACGAGAUCUUCGGGUCUAGUGGCGCACGGGUGCGUAACGCGUGGGAAUCUGCCCUUUGGUUCGGAACAACAGUUGGAAAUGACUGCUAAUACCGGAUGAUGACGAAAGUCCAAAGAUUUAUCGCCAGAGGAUGAGCCCGCGUAGGAUUAGCUAGUUGGUGUGGUAGAGGCGCACCAAGGCGACGAUCCUUAGCUGGUCUGAGAGGAUGAUCAGCCACACUGGGACUGAGACACGGCCCAGACUCCUACGGGAGGCAGCAGUGGGGAAUAUUGGACAAUGGGCGAAAGCCUGAUCCAGCAAUGCCGCGUGAGUGAUGAAGGCCUUAGGGUUGUAAAGCUCUUUUACCCGGGAUGAUAAUGACAGCACCGGGAGAAUAAGCUCCGGCUAACUCCGUGCCAGCCGCCGCCGUAA